RNAcentral lists this long non-coding RNA (2242 nucleotides) under Balaenoptera musculus (blue whale). RNAcentral describes it as "lncRNA (ENSBMSG00010004084.1)". The record is from RNAcentral. Lineage: Eukaryota; Metazoa; Chordata; Mammalia; Artiodactyla; Balaenopteridae.
UGCUGGGGAGCUGAUCAGCUCCCCCGACCCAACAUCCUUCUGGAAAGAGUCCGUUUCCGAGAGUGGGGCCUGUCCAGAAGAACGAUGGGGAAGGGUACCCUGGUCUCCACCGUGGUCUCACCUUUGGGUCAGACACUGCUUGGGAUAACCCUCCCGUGUCUCACAGGUUAGGCCCGUGCACCUUGCACACGUGCGCACAUACACACACACAACCACAGCACUGCAGUAUGUUCUUGCCAAAGAUUUCCUUUAAAAGAAAGCACUUUUAAUAAUUAUUGUUAUUAUUGUGUAAAUGUUUAUCCUUUUUUCUCCCCAUCCCUCUCCCCAACCUUUUUUGCUGUUGUUUAUUGUUGAAUCUGUUUGUCAGCCAGGAGAGUGCCGUCUGGUCUUGAAAGUGGGCUGGGGAGUUGGGGAUGGGAAAGGGUCUGGGAGGAGUUGGCAAGAAAGAGCCGGAGGCCGGUGAGGCCUGGUCAGCUUGUGAUGCAGGGAUGCAGACCCCAGGCAAGCUCAGGCCCCAGCCCCAGGCCCAGGCUGUGUCUUGCUGUGCAUCUAGGCCUCUGAGGCAGCUGAGGCCUCGCCGUAGCUGCCCCGUACGGUGUCUGGAGGGAACAGGGGGCAGGGAAGUGACAGCCCUCCAAUUCAGCAGGGAGAGAGGCCCAGCAAGGUCCCCGUGGCCCUUCCCAGAUGGAGCGAGAGGGGAGGACUGGGCCUGGGAAUAGUGGAGAGGUGACCCCAGAGGGGAAAUGGGGAGGAAGGGAACAGUUUGAUGGAGCUCCAGGGCUGAGCAGAUGCCCCUGCCCUGCGAUCGUGGUGUUCUGGCUCCCUCCUCCAGCCAGGUGUUCCAGGGACAGAGACAUUGUGUCCUAGGUUUGGGAAAGGCCCUUUGACCCAGGUCCUCAUUGGAGCCUCUCCCGCAGCAGCUGCAAAUGCUUGCGGACUGCCAGGAUUCCUUCUUCCCUGGCAGGGUUUUGAGGGAUCCCUGGGUGCGUCAGAGACAGGUAGGAUAGGGGUGGGGGGACCUGGUGGCUGUGUGACCAUAAGAGGGAGCCCGAGGGACACGUGUGAUUCUCUGUAAAGGGGCUCCCGGAGGGAGAUGAGUCCAAGGGACACGUGUGAUUGUAAAGGGGCUCCCGGAGGGAGAUGGGUCGAACAUCCUUCUGCCCACUCGGAUGGGCCGAGCAGAGGUUGGGCAGGCCCCUGGUGCCGCCCAGGGGUCUGUGGACGAGUCUGUACGUGGAACAGUGUCUAUGGCCCCCUUCCCCGGGAUGUUCAUUCAUCACCCCUGCCUCCUGGGUCUUCUCCCCUGCUUUGGUCUUUUCCAGCUUCAGGAUCUGGAUCUGGGGGGAUCCAGGAGGCCAAUGCCCUUUCCAAGGGCUGCCUCCUGCCCCUACAUCUCCCCACCCUUGGGAUCCUUGGAGAGGCUGGGGGCGGAGUCCCGGGUCUACUUUUCACCCAGGUCGAGGCCCCGGAAUCCUUAGACUGGAGUGCCCUGGCUAGUGGUAACACAGAACGUGUGCGCGUGCGUGUGCAAGUGUGGGUGUAUGUGUGUGCGUUUUUUGCUUGUCUCUUUAGGGAACUUAGGAGUUGGGUUGGAGGUGGUUGGCAAUGGGAUGUCAAGUUCACUAUCACCCAGCGGCGAAAGGAAUCAGGAGGCAAGGCUUGUAGGGCUCCUGAUUGGGGGAAUCUCAGUGUCGGUGAUGGUGGGGAUCAACCACACGGGGUGGCGCUCCUCUGUCCUCAGAUGUUGAAGUGUUGGAGGACCUCUGUUUAUUUCCCACACCUGAACUUUUCCCAGCUGUGAGGUAAUUGUAAAGGGAUAGCCCACUUUUGUUUCUAAUCAGUGUUCAACAGCUUGAGACUCUCCUGCAUGUCCACGUGUGGCUCAUGUGUGUGAGCACAUCUGUGCAUGCAUGCUGUGUUUCCCCACCUCUCCCCUCUCUGACAUGUCAUUCAAAACAAAUGUAAGAAAUUCCUCACCUCCAUCCCCUCCUGCCUCCCAGACCCUCUGCAGGAAAAACCGAAUAACCCAGCAUCUCCUGAUCCCCUGGCUGUGUAUUUAUAUAGAUGGAAAUAUACUUUCUAUUUUGUAUCAUCGUGCCUAUAAUCUCUGUCACCUUGUAUAAACCCUGAUGUAUGCUACUUACCCUGGAUAUGAAUGUAUUGUACACUGAUGCUGUCCCACUCCUGUACAGCUGCUUUGUUUCUUUGCAAUCCAUUGUAUGGCUUUAUAAAUGAUAAAGUG